UACGUAGGUGGCAAGCGUUAUCCGGAAUUAUUGGGCGUAAAGAGCGCGCAGGUGGUUAAUUAAGUCUGAUGUGAAAGCCCACGGCUUAACCGUGGAGGGUCAUUGGAAACUGGUUGACUUGAGUGCAGAAGAGGGAAGUGGAAUUCCAUGUGUAGCGGUGAAAUGCGUAGAGAUAUGGAGGAACACCAGUGGCGAAGGCGGCUUCCUGGUCUGCAACUGACACUGAGGCGCGAAAGCGUGGGGAG
RNAcentral lists this ribosomal RNA (245 nucleotides) under uncultured Turicibacter sp. RNAcentral's name for it is "partial 16S ribosomal RNA". It matches the Rfam family "Bacterial small subunit ribosomal RNA", at positions 524 to 768 of the family's 1533-position model. Lineage: Bacteria; Bacillati; Bacillota; Erysipelotrichia; Erysipelotrichales; Turicibacteraceae. The record is from RNAcentral.